GUAGAGCCAGGGGCUUCAGAGAUGGC
Molecule: non-coding RNA, 26 nt
Filed under: Cricetulus griseus (Chinese hamster)
Lineage: Eukaryota; Metazoa; Chordata; Mammalia; Rodentia; Cricetidae
Source: RNAcentral